GAUGAACGCUGACAGAAUGCUUAACACAUGCAAGUCGAUGGGGAAGUGGUGCUUGCACCAUGGUAACCAUGGCGGACGGGUGAGUAACGCGUAAGGAACUUGCCUGCGGGACUGGGAUAACAGCAGGAAACUGCUGAUAAUACCGGAUAAGGUCAUUAAGCUGCAUAGCUUAGUGAUGAAAGGAGACGCCUGCGGAGAGCCUUGCGUCCUAUUAGCUAGUUGGAGGGGUAACGGCCCACCAAGGCGAAGAUAGGUAGCCGGCCUGAGAGGGUGGACGGCCACAAGGGGACUGAGAUACCGCCCUUACUCCUACGGGAGGCAGCAGUGGGGAAUAUUGGACAAUGGGGGCAACCCUGAUCCAGCAAUUCUGUGUGCACGAAGACGGUUUUCGGAUUGUAAAGUGCUUUCAGCAGGGAAGAAGGAAGUGACGGUACCUGCAGAAGAAGCGACGGCUAAAUACGUG
Molecule: ribosomal RNA, 463 nt
Filed under: uncultured bacterium
Lineage: Bacteria
Description: partial 16S ribosomal RNA
Rfam family: Bacterial small subunit ribosomal RNA
Source: RNAcentral